RNAcentral lists this ribosomal RNA (208 nucleotides) under uncultured bacterium. RNAcentral describes it as "partial 16S ribosomal RNA". It matches the Rfam family "Bacterial small subunit ribosomal RNA", at positions 568 to 775 of the family's 1533-position model. The record is from RNAcentral.
CGCGUAGGUGGCAAGGUCAGUCGGAUGUGAAAGCCCCGGGCUUAACCUGGGAACUGCAUUCGAUACUGCCUUGCUAGAGUAUGGUAGAGGGAAGUGGAAUUCCGGGUGUAGCGGUGAAAUGCGUAGAUAUCCGGAGGAACACCAGUGGCGAAGGCGACUUCCUGGACCAAUACUGACACUGAGGUGCGAAAGCGUGGGGAGCAAACAG